This 400-nucleotide ribosomal RNA is filed under the name uncultured bacterium. RNAcentral describes it as "bacterial SSU rRNA". It matches the Rfam family "Bacterial small subunit ribosomal RNA", at positions 357 to 774 of the family's 1533-position model. The record is from RNAcentral.
GGGAAUAUUGCACAAUGGGGGAAACCCUGAUGCAGCGACGCCGCGUGAGUGAAGAAGUAUUUCGGUAUGUAAAGCUCUAUCAGCAGGGAAGAAAAUGACGGUACCUGACUAAGAAGCCCCGGCUAACUACGUGCCAGCAGCCGCGGUAAUACGUAGGGGGCAAGCGUUAUCCGGAUUUACUGGGUGUAAAGGGAGCGUAGACGGCAGUGCAAGCCUGGAGUGAAAGGAUGGGGCCCAACCCCAUGACUGCUCUGGGAACUGUACAGCUAGAGUGCCGGAGGGGUAAGCGGAAUUCCUAGUGUAGCGGUGAAAUGCGUAGAUAUUAGGAGGAACACCAGUGGCGAAGGCGGCUUACUGGACGGUAACUGACGUUGAGGCUCGAAAGCGUGGGGAGCAAACA